This 497-nucleotide ribosomal RNA is filed under the name uncultured bacterium. RNAcentral's name for it is "partial 16S ribosomal RNA". It matches the Rfam family "Bacterial small subunit ribosomal RNA", at positions 28 to 507 of the family's 1533-position model. The record is from RNAcentral.
GAUGAACGCUGGCGGCGUGCCUAAUACAUGCAAGUAGAACGCUGAAGGAAGGAGCUUGCUCUUUCCGGAUGAGUUGCGAACGGGUGAGUAACGCGUAGGUAACCUGCCUGGUAGCGGGGGAUAACUAUUGGAAACGAUAGCUAAUACCGCAUAACAGUAGAUGUUGCAUGAUAUCUACUUAAAAGGUGCAAUUGCACCACUACCAGAUGGACCUGCGUUGUAUUAGCUAGUUGGUGAGGUAACGGCUCACCAAGGCGACGAUACAUAGCCGACCUGAGAGGGUGAUCGGCCACACUGGGACUGAGCCACGGCCCAGACUCCUACGGGAGGCAGCAGUAGGGAAUCUUCGGCAAUGGACGGAAGUCUGACCGAGCAACGCCGCGGGAGUGAAGAAGGUUUUCGGAUCGUAAAGCUCGGUUGUAAGAGAAGAACGAGUGUGAGAGUGGAAAGUUCACACUGUGACGGUAUCUUACCAGAAAGGGACGGCUAACUACGUG